Molecule: long non-coding RNA, 260 nt
Filed under: Dromaius novaehollandiae (emu)
Lineage: Eukaryota; Metazoa; Chordata; Aves; Casuariiformes; Dromaiidae
Description: lncRNA (ENSDNVG00000013937.1)
Source: RNAcentral
UUUGCAAGGUGACUGAACAUUUGGGCCUGUGUUUCUUCCCCGAUAAUCUACAGAGCCUCUUCACUGAAAUAGAAUUCAAAACUCAUGCUGCGACUCUGCAAUAUUGUUCACUGCAAGAAACUAUUUUGUUCUGCCUCAGAGGCAAUACAUUUUUAUGUUUAAUUUUGCCCUGGGUAUAUACAACACUUGUUUAUGUCCUUAAAAUGUCUUUUAAAGAGAUUGAUUUCAAUGCCUCUCUAGUAAAUCCAGCUAUGAAGAUU